Molecule: unclassified non-coding RNA, 344 nt
Filed under: soil metagenome
Description: partial contains 5.8S ribosomal RNA, internal transcribed spacer 2, and large subunit ribosomal RNA
Rfam family: 5.8S ribosomal RNA (bases 1-120)
Source: RNAcentral
GAUGAAGAACGUAGUGAAAUGCGAUACGUAAUGUGAAUUGCAGAAUUCAGUGAAUCAUCGAGUCUUUGAACGCACAUUGCGCCCCCUGGUAUUCCGGGGGGCAUGCCUGUCCGAGCGUCAUUGCUGCCCUCAAGCACGGCUUGUGUGUUGGGCCUCCGUCCUCCUCCCGGGGGACGGGCCCGAAAGGCAGCGGCGGCACCGCGUCCGGUCCUCGAGCGUAUGGGGCUUCGUCACCCGCUCUUGUAGGCCCGGCCGGCGCUUGCCGACACAUCAAUCUUUUUUCCAGGUUGACCUCGGAUCAGGUAGGGAUACCCGCUGAACUUAAGCAUAUAAUAAGCGGAGGA